Molecule: ribosomal RNA, 467 nt
Filed under: uncultured bacterium
Lineage: Bacteria
Description: bacterial SSU rRNA
Rfam family: Bacterial small subunit ribosomal RNA
Source: RNAcentral
UAGGGAAUAUUGGGCAAUGGAGGGAACUCUGACCCAGCCAUGCCGCGUGCAGGAUGAAGGCGUUAUGCGUUGUAAACUGCUUUUUAUAUAGGAAGAAAUAGUCCUUGCGAGGAAAGUUGACGGUACUAUAUGAAUAAGCACCGGCUAACUCCGUGCCAGCAGCCGCGGUAAUACGGAGGGUGCAAGCGUUGUCCGGAUUUAUUGGGUUUAAAGGGUGCGUAGGCGGUUUAUUAAGUCAGUGGUGAAAGACGGUCGCUCAACGAUUGCAGUGCCAUUGAUACUGGUAGACUUGAGUAUGAUUGAGGUAGCUGGAAUGGAUAGUGUAGCGGUGAAAUGCAUAGAUAUUAUCCAGAACACCAAUUGCGUAGGCAAGUUACUAAGUCAUAACUGACGCUGAGGCACGAAAGUGUGGGUAUCAAACAGGAUUAGAUACCCGGGUAGUCCCUGAGCGGGCUGGCAAGGCGCAU